Molecule: ribosomal RNA, 429 nt
Filed under: Bacillota bacterium
Lineage: Bacteria; Bacillati; Bacillota
Description: Firmicutes bacterium partial 16S ribosomal RNA
Rfam family: Bacterial small subunit ribosomal RNA
Source: RNAcentral
UAGGGAAUCUUCGGCAAUGGACGGAAGUCUGACCGAGCAACGCCGCGUGAGUGAAGAAGGUUUUCGGAUCGUAAAGCUCUGUUGUUAGAGAAGAACGUUGGUAGGAGUGGAAAAUCUACCAAGUGACGGUAACUAACCAGAAAGGGACGGCUAACUACGUGCCAGCAGCCGCGGUAAUAAGUAGGUCCCGAGCGUUGUCCGGAUUUAUUGGGCGUAAAGCGAGCGCAGGCGGUUCUUUAAGUCUGAAGUUAAAGGCAGUGGCUUAACCAUUGUACGCUUUCGAAACUGGAGGACUUGAGUGCAGAAGUGGAUAGUGUAAUUCCAUGUGUAGCGGUGAAAAGCGUAGAUAUAUGGAGGAUCACCGGUGGCGAAAGCGCCUCUCUAGUCUGUAACUAACGCUGAGGCUCGAAAGCGUGGGGAGCAAACAGG